This 364-nucleotide ribosomal RNA is filed under the name Dehalococcoidia bacterium. RNAcentral describes it as "bacterial SSU rRNA". It matches the Rfam family "Bacterial small subunit ribosomal RNA", at positions 1 to 354 of the family's 1533-position model. Lineage: Bacteria; Bacillati; Chloroflexota; Dehalococcoidia. The record is from RNAcentral.
CUGAUAGAGAGUUUGAUCUUGGCUCAGGGUGAACGCUGGCGGCGCGCCUAAUGCAUGCAAGUCGAGCGAGCCAACUUCGAUUCGUCGGAGUUGGAAAGCGGCAGACGGCUGAGUAACGCGUGAGUAACCUGUCCUCUGGUGGGGUAAAACCCCGAGAAAUCGAGGCUAAUACCGCAUAAGGUCCUCCGGCCAUGGCCGGAGGAAGAAAGCUUUCUUGCAAGAGAGCUCCAGAGGAGAGGCUCGCGUCCUAUCAGGUAGUUGGUGGGGUAAUGGCCUACCAAGCCUAUGACGGGUAGCUGGUCUGAGAGGAUGACCAGCCAGAGGGGGACUGAGACACGGCCCCCACUCCUACGGGAGGCAGCAG